AGAGUUUGAUCCUGGCUCAGAUUGAACGCUGGCGGCAUGCCUUACACAUGCAAGUCGAACGGCGGCACGGGGGCAACCCUGGUGGCGAGUGGCGAACGGGUGAGUAAUACAUCGGAACGUGUCCUGUAGUGGGGGAUAGCCCGGCGAAAGCCGGAUUAAUACCGCAUACGCUCUACGGAGGAAAGGGGGGGAUCUUCAGGACCUCCCGCUACAGGGGCGGCCGAUGGCAGAUUAGCUAGUUGGUGGGGUAAAGGCCUACCAAGGCGACGAUCUGUAGCUGGUCUGAGAGGACGACCAGCCACACUGGGACUGAGACACGGCCCAGACUCCUACGGGAGGCAGCAGUGGGGAAUUUUGGACAAUGGGCGAAAGCCUGAUCCAGCAAUGCCGCGUGUGUGAAGAAGGCCUUCGGGUUGUAAAGCACUUUUUCCGGAAAGAAAACCUCCGCCCUAAUAUGGUGGGGGGAUGACGGUACCGGAAGAAUAAGCACCGGCUAAC
RNAcentral lists this ribosomal RNA (498 nucleotides) under uncultured Burkholderiaceae bacterium. RNAcentral describes it as "bacterial SSU rRNA". It matches the Rfam family "Bacterial small subunit ribosomal RNA", at positions 8 to 501 of the family's 1533-position model. Lineage: Bacteria; Pseudomonadati; Pseudomonadota; Betaproteobacteria; Burkholderiales; Burkholderiaceae. The record is from RNAcentral.